RNAcentral lists this transfer RNA (73 nucleotides) under Erinaceus europaeus (western European hedgehog). It matches the Rfam family "tRNA". From Rfam's summary of the family: Transfer RNA (tRNA) molecules are approximately 80 nucleotides in length. Their secondary structure includes four short double-helical elements and three loops (D, anti-codon, and T loops). Further hydrogen bonds mediate the characteristic L-shaped molecular structure. tRNAs have two regions of fundamental functional importance: the anti-codon, which is responsible for specific mRNA codon recognition, and the 3' end, to which the tRNAs corresponding amino acid is attached (by aminoacyl-tRNA synthetases). tRNAs cope with the degeneracy of the genetic code in two manners: having more than one tRNA (with a specific anti-codon) for a particular amino acid; and 'wobble' base-pairing, i.e. permitting non-standard base-pairing at the 3rd anti-codon position. Lineage: Eukaryota; Metazoa; Chordata; Mammalia; Eulipotyphla; Erinaceidae. The record is from Rfam by way of RNAcentral.
GGGGAAAUAGCUCAGCUGGUAGAGCACAGGACUCGCAUGUCUGAGACUCCUGGUUCAAUUCCCAGUUUCACAA